Molecule: unclassified non-coding RNA, 3358 nt
Filed under: Bombyx mandarina (wild silkworm)
Lineage: Eukaryota; Metazoa; Arthropoda; Insecta; Lepidoptera; Bombycidae
Description: solute carrier family 12 member 9, transcript variant X1
Source: RNAcentral
CUGACGGAGAUAAACAUUGUUUGUGUUUUGUGAUGACAUUGUGGAAAACAUACAGUUAUUACAGUAGUAGAUUAGUGAUUUGAUUGAAUUUUAUGGUACGCCAAUAGCCACACAAUAUAAUGAAGGUUUUACAGGAAAUAUAAUGUGUGCAAGUCGUUUUUAAAAUAAAUAAAUACCUCCCAGAACUCAACAAGACCUCCUCAAGAUACAAUUAGACAAAGCCAGAAAACAUGGCAGAAACCCUUGACCCGCUGUCACCGACUGUGAAUAUUUCGCCAAGGAUUGGAAUCCUACAAAAACUAAGGACAAGAUUUGGUAGAAAUGUACCUAUUAAUCGAAAUAACAGUGAAGGAUACGUGGAAUUCGGGGAGUUCCGGGUCGAACGUCCCGGAAUCAAGAAGGUCGGGACAUUCGCCGGCGUCUUCUGUCCCGUCGUGUUAUCUAUGUUUAGCGCUCUCGUGUUUAUACGAAUGGGUUAUUUAGUAGGUAAUGCCGGUCUUCUGGUGACAUUAGCGCAAUUCGCCGUGGCCUACCUCAUAGUGCUGUUCACGGUGACCUCAAUAUGCGCGAUAUCGACAAACGGGGCGGUCGAAGGAGGCGGCGUGUAUUUCAUGUUGAGCAGAACCCUAGGUCCCGAGUUCGGAGGUGCUAUAGGGACUUUAUUCUUCUUCGCGAAUGUGGUUUCCAGUGCUUUGUGCAUAUCAGCGUGCACUGAGGCCUUGGUUGAAAACUUCGGAACCAAUGGGUACUUAGUGGGUGAGAGUGGUGGUAUCCCGGACAGUUGGUGGUACCGCUUCCUGUAUCGCUCCGUGCUGAAUGCGGUCGGGCUGGGCGUGUCCCUGGCGGGCGCCUCGCUGUUCGCCAGGACCAGCCUCGCCAUCUGGGUCACGAUGCUGGUCUGCUUGGCCAGCGCCUUCUUGAGCUUCUUCAUCACGAGCCCCGCGCAGAUCGAGAAGCCAGAUUCGAAUCACUUAAUAAACACGACAUAUCUGAACUACACCGGGCUGAGCGUGUCGACGCUGGCUUCGAACCUGUACCCGCAGUACGGGCGCGACUACACGACGGCGAGCGGGCAGCUCGUGGACUUCGCGUCAGUGCUGGGCGUGCUGUUCACCGGCGUCACCGGCGUCAUGGCCGGCGCCAACAUGAGCGGGGAAUUAAAGCACCCGUCGCGCAGCAUCCCGCGCGGCACGCUCGCGGCGCUGCUGUUCACGGCCGCGUCCUACGCCGCGCUGAGCCUGCUGACGGCCGCCACGUGCUCCAGGGAGCUGCUGCAGAACAACUACGUGUACCUGCUGCCCAUCAACGUGUGGCCACCCUUCAUAGCCGUCGGCAUGAUAGUAGCUACAUUUUCGGCCGCACUCUCCAACCUGAUCGGCGCUUCUAGAGUGUUGGAAGCGUUGGCCAAAGAUGACAUAUUUGGUUUCCUUCUUCGUCCGAUGGUGUCGCGUUCCGGGAACCCGGUGCUGGCGGUGGUGGUGUCCUGGGCGCUGGUGCAGGUGGGCGUGGCGGCGGACUCCCUCAACGCCAUAGCGCAAGUCAACUCGGUCCUCUUCAUGACGAGCUAUUUCGCCAUCAAUCUGGCUUGCCUGGGACUGGAGCUCGCUUCGGCUCCUAACUUCAGGCCGACGUUUCGCCAAUUCUCGUGGGCGACGUCGCUGGCGGGGCUGUGCGGCAGCGCGGCGCUGAUGUUCUCGCUGCGCGCGCUGUACGCGGCGGGCGGCGCGCUGGCGGCCGCGGGGCUGGUGCUGGCGCUGCACCUGCUGUCGCCCGCCGCCGCCGAGCCCAAGUGGGGCAGCCUCAGCCAGGCGCUCAUCUUCCACCAGGUCCGCAAGUAUCUGCUGCUCCUGGACCCGCGGCGAGAGCACGUCAAAUUCUGGAGGCCGCAGAUGCUGCUGUUGGUGGCCUCGCCGAGACAGUCGGCGCCGCUCAUAGACUUCGUCAACGAUCAGAAGAAGGGCGGGCUGUUCGUGCUGGGUCACGUGCGCGUGGGGCGGCUGGACGGCGCGGGGGACCCUCUCGCGGAGGAGCACCAGUACUGGCUGAAGCUCAUCGACCAUCUCAAGGUGAAGGCGUUCGUGGAGCUGUGCCUGGCGGAGUCAGUGCGCAGCGGCGCCGCCCACCUGGCGCGCCUGUCCGGCCUGGGCGCCAUGAAGCCCGACACCGUGCUGCUCGGCUUCUGGGACGACGCGCAGCCGCGGGACUUCUUCAGGGAACCGGAGUCGCCGUACCGCACGGAGCUGUUCGACGCGGGCGGCGGCGCAUUCCCCGCCCGCCGCGCCGGUGCCGCGCGCCUGCCGCCCGCCGAGUACGUGCGCAUACUGUCCGACGUGCUCUGCGUCAACAAGAACGUGUGCAUAUGCAGGCACUUCCAUCUGCUGGACAUGGCGGCGGUCGAACGUAAGUCCCCGAGCUUGAAGUACAUCGACGUGUGGCUGGUGGAUCUGCUGGCGCCGAGCCGCGAGGAGGCAUUCUCGGUGCGGGGGCUGUUCGCGCUGCAGCUGGCGGCCGUGGUGCGGUCCGCGCGUGGCUGGCAGCACCUGCAACUCCGCGUGCACACCACCAGACACGAAGCGAGCCUGACGGUGGGCUCCGGCGACAGUCCGGCGCCGGACGGGCCGCCGCUGCAGCAGCGCCUCGAGGAGUUGCUCAAGCUGCUGCGGAUCAACGCCACCACGCACAUUAUCUCAGAUUGGCCGAAGCUGGACCUGAGCAGGUGGUCCGAUACGGACGAGGACCUGUACCAGCGGGUCCCCGCCACCUACCUCAAGACCGUGAACAGUAUAGUCCGGGAGCGCUGCGAGCAGGGCACCGCCGUGACCUUCGUCCAGCUCAGCGCCCCGCCCCGCGAGGCUGACGAGCUGUGCGAGCAGUACCUGCAGGUGCUAGACGAAUUCACGAAGGAUUUAUCGCCGACGAUUCUAGUGAGGGGCCUAAAGUCGGUCACGUCCACGUCUCUGUAAUGGCGUCGGUGUGCUAGUGAGAGCAAACGGAAUCCGAAUGGUGUCUUAAUUAAUUUGUAACUGGGAGCUUGAAGUUUGCUGAUGUCCGUGGGCGACGGUAACCACUCACCAUCAGGUGGACCAAUAAAGGCAAUAAAAAACGAGGACUGGAGGAACAUGGAGUCUGGUCUACCCUCGCCACGCCAGAACUUCCGCAGGGCUCUAUAAUUUUUAUCAUUAAAUAUUCGUUAAAUUUUAAGAGGACUUAUGAUAGGCUUUUUUAAAUCGACACUUUCAUUUUCAUAUUAGCGCGCUUUAUGACUAAGGCACCUUCUACCAGUAAAUCAAUGGCGAUGCGAAAUGUCUUAGAUGAUAAAUAAAUUAUAUAAAAAUUAAUAUCACACUAUAUUUUAUAC